AGCGAACGCUGGCGGCAGGCCUAACACAUGCAAGUCGAACGAAGUCUUCGGACUUAGUGGCGGACGGGUGAGUAACACGUGGGAACGUACCUUUUGGUUCGGAAUAACUGAGGGAAACUUCAGCUAAUACCGGAUAAGCUCUUCGGAGGAAAGAUUUAUCGCCAUUAGAGCGGCCCGCGUUGGAUUAGGUAGUUGGUGUGGUAAAGGCGCACCAAGCCUACGAUCCAUAGCUGGUCUGAGAGGAUGAUCAGCCACACUGGGACUGAGACACGGCCCAGACUCCUACGGGAGGCAGCAGUGGGGAAUUUUGCGCAAUGGUCGAAAGACUGACGCAGCCAUGCCGCGUGAAUGAUGAAGGUCUUAGGAUUGUAAAAUUCUUUUAGCAGGAACGAUAAUGACGGUACCCGCAGAAAAAGCCCCGGCUAACUUCGUGCCAGCCGCCGCCGUAA
This 449-nucleotide ribosomal RNA is filed under the name uncultured bacterium. Its description in RNAcentral is "partial 16S ribosomal RNA". It matches the Rfam family "Bacterial small subunit ribosomal RNA", at positions 29 to 523 of the family's 1533-position model. The record is from RNAcentral.